AACGCACGAGACCUGCGGACCUGCGGAGGGAUCAUUACAGAGUGCCCCUGGCUCUGCCAACCCCGUGAACGAUACUUUGUUGCCUCGGCGGUCAGUGGGUUAGCCCCCACGCCGCCGCAGGCCCCAUUAUACUCUGUUAGCAGCCGCCGUCAGUCUGACUUUUGAUUUUUAAAUUAUAUAAAAACUUUUAGCAACGGAUCUCU
This 203-nucleotide unclassified non-coding RNA is filed under the name soil metagenome. RNAcentral's name for it is "partial contains 5.8S ribosomal RNA, internal transcribed spacer 2, and large subunit ribosomal RNA". The record is from RNAcentral.